RNAcentral lists this ribosomal RNA (408 nucleotides) under uncultured bacterium. RNAcentral's name for it is "partial 16S ribosomal RNA". It matches the Rfam family "Bacterial small subunit ribosomal RNA", at positions 28 to 526 of the family's 1533-position model. The record is from RNAcentral.
GACGAACGCUGGAGGCGUGUUUAAUACAUGCAAGUCGAACGGAGUGGCGAACGGGUGAGUAACCCGUGGGUGAUCUGCCUUGCACUUCGGGAUAAGCUUGGGAAACUGGUUCCAAUACCGGAUCGAGCAAGAUGAGCUCGCGGCCUAUCAGCUUGUUGUGGGGGUAAUGGCCUACCAAGGCGUCGACGGGUAGCCGGCCUGAGAGGGUGUACGGCCACAUUGGGGCUUGGAUACGGCCCAGGUUUCUACGGGAGGCAGCGGUGGCGACUUUUACAGCAUGGGCGGAGGCAUGCUCCAGCGACGCCGCGUGGGGUUUAGAGGCCUUCGGGUUGUAGACUCCUUACGCCAGUUACGCGGUACCUUUCUAAGACUCCCCGGCUCCCUACGUGCCAGCCGCCGCGGUAAUUC